This 2891-nucleotide ribosomal RNA is filed under the name metagenome. Its description in RNAcentral is "bacterial LSU rRNA". It matches the Rfam family "Bacterial large subunit ribosomal RNA". The record is from RNAcentral.
UCAAGUGAAGAAGCGCAUACGGUGGAUGCCUUGGCAGUCAGAGGCGAUGAAAGACGUUGUAGCCUGCGAUAAGCUUUGGGGAGUCGGCAAACAGACUUUGAUCCAGAGAUCUCUGAAUGGGGAAACCCACCCGAUGUAAGUCGGGUAUCUUAUGCUCAAUACAUAGGCAUAAGAGGCGAACGCGGGGAACUGAAACAUCUAAGUACCCGUAGGAAAAGAAAUCAACCGAGAUUCCCUUAGUAGUGGCGAGCGAACGGGGACUAGCCCUUAAGUGGCUUAGAGAUUAGUGGAAGGCUCUGGAAAGUGCCGCCGUAGUGGGUGAUAGCCCUGUACACGAAAAUCUCUUUGUCAUGAAAUCGAGUAGGACGGAGCACGAGAAACUUUGUCUGAAUAUGGGGGGACCAUCCUCCAAGGCUAAAUACUACUGACUGACCGAUAGUGAACUAGUACCGUGAGGGAAAGGCGAAAAGAACCCCGGAGAGGGGAGUGAAAUAGAACCUGAAACCGUAUGCGUACAAGCAGUGGGAGCCUACUUUGUUAGGUGACUGCGUACCUUUUGUAUAAUGGGUCAGCGACUUAUUUUCAGUGGCAAGCUUAACCGAAUAGGGGAGGCGUAGCGAAAGCGAGUCUUAAUAGGGCGACAGUCGCUGGGAAUAGACCCGAAACCGGGCGAUCUAUCCAUGGGCAGGUUGAAGGUUGGGUAACACUAACUGGAGGACCGAACCGACUAUCGUUGAAAAGCUAGCGGAUGACCUGUGGAUCGGAGUGAAAGGCUAAUCAAGCCCGGAGAUAGCUGGUUCUCCUCGAAAGCUAUUUAGGUAGCGCCUCGUGUAUCACUGCUGGGGGUAGAGCACUGUUUUGGCUAGGGGGUCAUCCCGACUUACCAACCCAAUGCAAACUCCGAAUACCAGCAAGUGCAAGCACGGGAGACACACGGCGGGUGCUAACGUCCGUCGUGGAAAGGGAAACAACCCAGACCGUCAGCUAAGGUCCCAAAGUUAUGGUUAAGUGGGAAACGAUGUGGGAAGGCUUAGACAGCUAGGAGGUUGGCUUAGAAGCAGCCACCCUUUAAAGAAAGCGUAAUAGCUCACUAGUCGAGUCGGCCUGCGCGGAAGAUGUAACGGGGCUCAAACCAUACACCGAAGCUACGGACAUGCUCUUUGAGCAUGUGGUAGAGGAGCGUUCUGUAAGCCGUUGAAGGUGAGUUGAGAAGCUUGCUGGAGGUAUCAGAAGUGCGAAUGCUGACAUGAGUAACGAUAAUGAGUGUGAAAAACACUCACGCCGAAAGACCAAGGUUUCCUGCGCAACGUUAAUCGACGCAGGGUGAGUCGGCUCCUAAGGCGAGACUGAAAAGUGUAGUCGAUGGGAAACAGGUUAAUAUUCCUGUACUUCUAAUUAUUGCGAUGGAGAGACGGAGAAGGCUAGGCCAUCAGGGCGUUGGUUGUCCCUGUUUAAGGUGGUAGGCAGAGAUCUUAGGUAAAUCCGGGAUCUUGUUAAUGCCGAGAGCUGAUGACGAGCGUUCUUUAGAAUGCGAAGUGGUUGAUGCCAUGCUUCCAAGAAAAUCUUCUAAGCUUCAGAUAAUUAGGAACCGUACCCCAAACCGACACAGGUGGUUGGGUAGAGAAUACCAAGGCGCUUGAGAGAACUCGGGUGAAGGAACUAGGCAAAAUGGCACCGUAACUUCGGGAGAAGGUGCGCUGGUGAGGGUGAAGUAUUUACUACGUAAGCCUUUGCUAGUCGAAGAUACCAGGCCGCUGCGACUGUUUAUUAAAAACACAGGACUCUGCAAACACGAAAGUGGACGUAUAGGGUCUGACGCCUGCCCGGUGCCGGAAGGUUAAUUGAUGGGGUUAGCGCAAGCGAAGCUCUUGAUCGAAGCCCCGGUAAACGGCGGCCGUAACUAUAACGGUCCUAAGGUAGCGAAAUUCCUUGUCGGGUAAGUUCCGACCUGCACGAAUGGCGUAACGAUGGCGGCGCUGUCUCCACCCGAGACUCAGUGAAAUUGAAAUCGCUGUGAAGAUGCAGUGUAUCCGCGGCAAGACGGAAAGACCCCGUGAACCUUUACUAUAGCUUUGCACUGGACUUUGAAGUUGUUUGUGUAGGAUAGGUGGGAGGCUUUGAAACUGUGACGCUAGUUGCAGUGGAGCCAACCUUGAAAUACCACCCUGGCAACUUUGAGGUUCUAACUCUGGUCCGUUAUCCGGAUCGAGGACAGUGUAUGGUGGGUAGUUUGACUGGGGCGGUCUCCUCCUAAAGAGUAACGGAGGAGUACGAAGGUGCGCUCAGACCGGUCGGAAAUCGGUCGUAGAGUAUAAAGGCAAAAGCGCGCUUAACUGCGAGACCAACAAGUCGAGCAGGUACGAAAGUAGGUCUUAGUGAUCCGGUGGUUCUGUAUGGAAGGGCCAUCGCUCAACGGAUAAAAGGUACUCCGGGGAUAACAGGCUGAUACCGCCCAAGAGUUCAUAUCGACGGCGGUGUUUGGCACCUCGAUGUCGGCUCAUCACAUCCUGGGGCUGAAGCCGGUCCCAAGGGUAUGGCUGUUCGCCAUUUAAAGUGGUACGCGAGCUGGGUUUAGAACGUCGUGAGACAGUUCGGUCCCUAUCUGUCGUGGACGUUUGAGAUUUGAGAGGGGCUGCUCCUAGUACGAGAGGACCGGAGUGGACGAACCUCUGGUGUUCCGGUUGUCACGCCAGUGGCAUUGCCGGGUAGCUAUGUUCGGAAGAGAUAACCGCUGAAAGCAUCUAAGCGGGAAACUUGCCUCAAGAUGAGAUCUCACUGGAGCUUUAAGCUUCCUGAAGGGCCCUUGAAGACUACAAGGUUGAUAGGUUGGGUGUGUAAGUGCUGUGAGGCAUUGAGCUAACCAAUACUAAUUGCCCGUGAGGCUUGACCAU